This 72-nucleotide transfer RNA is filed under the name Phrynosoma platyrhinos (Desert horned lizard). Its description in RNAcentral is "tRNA-OTHER". The record is from RNAcentral. Lineage: Eukaryota; Metazoa; Chordata; Lepidosauria; Squamata; Phrynosomatidae.
GCCAGUGUGGUGUAGUGGUUUGAGUGUUGGACUAUGACUUUGGAGACCAGGGUUUGAAUCCCUGCUCACUCA